GCAAGUUUAACAAGUGCAGAAAAGGAAUUCUCUGCAGGGACAGCUUAGCAUGCAAAGAUUUUCCAGAUGACAUACAGACCCAUUUCCUUCUCUUGCAUCAUGCAGCCUCUAAAGUAUAUGCUUUCACCUAGAACAAGUGACUCCUUUUUUCACUGCUUGAGAACAGAUGAUAUUUCAAAAGAGCUUGUUGCAAUGCAACCCGCAGAAUGUUGGAGAGGCUCUUUGGCUUCAGUAAAAGGUUGCAUUGGCCAAAAAAAAAAUGCUACCAUUGCCAGGGUCCAGUCCAUCAGUCCCAAAUAUCCAAUAUGCAUGGUCCAGGAGAAGAGCAGAGGAGCUGGAUGAACAGCUGGAAGUGAGCAGGGGACAAGAAGAAAAAGGAAAACGUGUGACAUUGUUCUGUAUAGAAUCGGGUUAAUUAUGUGCAUAAUAAAUACUCUCUUUAAUAUUUUAUUUUACCUUUGAUGAAUCUUGGGUGGGAGAGGGGCUGUUUCCUGAUUUCUCAGGUCCACUGAAUAACAUUUGCCCUGACCAGUUAAACUAACCUGAAAAUGGUCUUUAUUUAUGUGUGUUUCACUGCCCAUCAUAACUUAAGCAGAGGGUCCUUCACUCUGUUCUUUACAUAAUUGUUUUGUCCCUAUAAACUUUGCAACAUGUGAAGCAUGCCUUUCCCCCUGUUGAGCCCCUUAGCCACAUUUUUCCAGUCUCUAUUAUUUUCCCUUCCUUCCAGCUCUUCUCUUUUGCUCCAGUGUGUGCCAAAUGGUCCCAAUUUAUUUGAAACCUGAAUCCAAGAACUGUUACCAUGCAGAGUUUAUUUUAUUCUAAGGAUAAAAUCUAGGUGCAUCUCAUGCAAGCAUUCUGAAAAACAUAGAUGGUUCUUUUUUAGUCAUGUGGAAUAAUUGCUCUGCUAUAUCAUCUAUGAUCAUUUCAGCCACCUCAUUAUGCCAUCUAAGCUGUACUUCCAUUUAAUUGAAUUGCUAGUUACAACAGCCACUUAAUUUCACCAUAAUAUUUUAAUACUCAUAUUAUAAAUCUCAACAGAACAUUGUUCCAAAUCAUAAAUUGGUAUUAUCGGCUGUCUGCUGCCAUCUGUGAUCUGAGGAGGCAGAAAGGGCAUGAGUAGUAAGAGACCAGAACUCAAAAUGAUCCAAUCUUUUAUGUCUUUUUGGUGCUUACCAUUAAUUAUAUCUGGCCAUAAAACACUUGGUCUAGUUCUUCUUGCUGCAUACUAGAGAGAGAGUCAAGGCUUAACCUACCAAGGUGGAAAUGAGGAACAUAAAUGACUGAAAUAGAUAAAUGACUUGCGUGAGAGGCAUAAGAAAAACAGAGAGGCAAAGAUCAAAAUGGUGAACUGGUUUCCUUUCCUGCCCUGCUUUCUGUCCUUUUGUGUGUUAAUUAUUUUAGCAUUAAGCAAUCCCUUGGGUCUGCUGCAUUUUCUCUAGGAUUCAGACCUUUCGGAACCUUCUUGUACCAACAGUUUUCAAAUGUAUGAACUAUGUAAGUUUGGGAAAUAUGGGGUACAAGAAGUUUUUGACCCAAGAGUCAAACAGUGGCAGUUGCUAUAAAAUUUCUGCAGAACAUUUCAGUUGAUAUGAACUGGCACCAACUCCAGCAUCACAGUAAAUGAAAGACAUAUUUUCACAUUACAUCUGUCUCAUGUGCUGUUAAGUAGGAAUAAAUACAUACAGCUUAACCUUUCACAGAAAU
Molecule: long non-coding RNA, 1704 nt
Organism: Candoia aspera
Lineage: Eukaryota; Metazoa; Chordata; Lepidosauria; Squamata; Candoiidae
Exons: 3
Source: RefSeq, a predicted model, not a curated record